Molecule: ribosomal RNA, 261 nt
Filed under: uncultured bacterium
Lineage: Bacteria
Description: partial 16S ribosomal RNA
Rfam family: Bacterial small subunit ribosomal RNA
Source: RNAcentral
UACGGAGGGUGCAAGCGUUAUCCGGAUUUACUGGGUUUAAAGGGUGCGUAGGUGGGUAGGUAAGUCAGUGGUGAAAAUCUUCGAGCUUAACUCGGAAACUGCCAUUGAUACUAUUUAUCUUGAAUACUCUGGAGGUAAGCGGAAUAUGUCAUGUAGCGGUGAAAUGCUUAGAUAUGACAUAGAACACCAAUUGCGAAGGCAGCUUACUACAUAGUUAUUGACACUGAGGCACGAAAGCGUGGGGAUCAAACAGGAUUAGAA